AUUGAACGCUAGCGGGAUGCUUUACACAUGCAAGUCGAACGGCAGCGCGGACUUCGGUCUGGCGGCGAGUGGCGAACGGGUGAGUAAUGUAUCGGAACGUGCCCAGUAGCGGGGGAUAACUACGCGAAAGCGUAGCUAAUACCGCAUACGCCCUACGGUGGAAACCAGGGGAUCGUAAGACCUUGCACUAUUUGAGCGGCCGAUAUCGGAUUAGCUAGUUGGUGAGGUAACGGCUCACCAAGGCGACGAUGCGUAGCUGGUUUGAGAGGACGACCAGCCACACUGGGACUGAGACACGGCCCAGACUCCUACGGGAGGAAGCAGUGGGGAAUUUUGGGCAAUGGGGGAAAGCCUGAUACAGCAAUCCCGCGUGUGGGAUGAAGGCCUUCGGGUGGUAAAGCACUGUUGGCAGGAAAGAACCUACGCGGGCUAAUCCCCGGUGGAACUGACGGUACCUGCAGAAUAAGCACCGGCUAACUACGUG
Molecule: ribosomal RNA, 484 nt
Filed under: uncultured bacterium
Lineage: Bacteria
Description: partial 16S ribosomal RNA
Rfam family: Bacterial small subunit ribosomal RNA
Source: RNAcentral